UUAGAACCGAUGAAUUGGAAAAAUUACCGUCAGGACAUGAAGAAAUUUUGCGGAAGAUGCGAGCAAAACAAAGACGUAAUUUUGGACACCUUGGAGGUUGCUAUUGAUCAAGAUAGCUCGUGGUUGCGCGUUAAGCAAUUAAAGUAACAUGAAAAUGUUAAAAUCUAAGGUGGUACCGUGCAUUUGCGCCCUUAAC
Molecule: unclassified non-coding RNA, 196 nt
Filed under: Leuconostoc suionicum
Lineage: Bacteria; Bacillati; Bacillota; Bacilli; Lactobacillales; Lactobacillaceae
Description: T-box
Source: RNAcentral